UCAGAGAUGGAAAGGUGCCUUCGGGAACCGUGAGACAGGUGCUGCAUGGCUGUCGUCAGCUCGUGUUGUGAAAUGUUGGGUUAAGUCCCGCAACGAGCGCAACCCUUAUCCUUUGUUGCCAGCGGUCCGGCCGGGAACUCAAAGGAGACUGCCAGUGAUAAACUGGAGGAAGGUGGGGAUGACGUCAAGUCAUCAUGGCCCUUACGACCAGGGCUACACACGUGCUACAAUGGCGCAUACAAAGAGAAGCGACCUCGCGAGAGCAAGCGGACCUCAUAAAGUGCGUCGUAGUCCGGAUUGGAGUCUGCAACUCGACUCCAUGAAGUCGGAAUCGCUAGUAAUC
Molecule: ribosomal RNA, 343 nt
Filed under: bacterium enrichment culture DGGE gel band MC3
Lineage: Bacteria
Description: bacterial SSU rRNA
Rfam family: Bacterial small subunit ribosomal RNA
Source: RNAcentral